UUUAAAAACACUCUACCUUUGAUACAGCCUGGAAAUAUUUUAAGAGAAUAUCUGUUGAUACUUAAAAUAAAUUAAAAUAAAAGGAUCAGCCUAGUUCAUGAAUAGCUGUGAAAUAAUAAUCAAGAGCCUAGCUUAUGUUUCAAGAAGGAAGCUGAAAUCUGCUGGCCUAGUGUUUAGAUGCUAGAAACAUACUAAUGGUAAUACUAGUAGUCUUUGUAAUCAUAGUAAGUGACAAUAACAAUAAUAAUAUGUCAGUAACUGCUGAACCUCUCAGCUAUGGUUAGAGAUGUGUUGCUGUGCAGGUCUGGCCCGGGGGCAAAGUUUCUGGGCUUUCCUGUGGUUUUCCAGUUUUCCUCUGGACUGUAAACCCACCUUCAGCCCAGGAUGUGGUAUAAUUGACACUAUAGUAUAAACAAAUGUGAACGUCAAUGUGAUCCCUGUUUUAGGGAGGUGCUGUCCAAAUCCUAUUUUGAUGGUGGAAUGCAAGGUAAAGCUGCUGAUGCUGGGCUUUAAGGUGGGAGGAGGAGUGGGGUGAGGGGUGGUAUUUGGGGGGGUGCAGACUGUGUGAUGUUGAGGCUUAUUAGUGGCUCUUCCACAGCCCUUGAAACCAUACUUUAACAAGUGAAAAGCUUUGCAAACUGUAAAGGACUACUAGACACCAAAACAAAUUACUUUUCUUAUUAUUGGUGACCAGGAGCAGAUACUGAUGCCACAGGAAGAGCAGAGGGAGCUGGAGGAGUGAAGGCUGAGAGGACUCAGGCUAGCAGAUAAGGAACCAUUGGGGCAUGACUCCUCAGAGCAGAGGACACAGGAGCAAGAAACCAAACUGAACCAAGCAAUCACAUUUAAAUUUUUUUCUUGGAUGACUUAUGCCAUAUUUGCUCAUGUUCCAUUGGCCAAAGCAAGUCAAAUGGCCAAACUCAACAUCUAUGGUGUAUGGAAAGAUACUUCACUAUGGGGAGAGCAUUUCACUGAUGCUAAAGAACCUUCCCUCAAAAAUCUUUUGGCUUAAUCACCCCCUGUGAAUAAGGAGCAGGCAUCAUCAUUUUACAGGUAAGGAAAAUCAUAGACAGGUGUGAAGCUUGCACUUGAACUUCUGAUGAUGAGCUUCCCCUUCGUCCCACGGCUUCUAGACAAGGAGCCAAAUGAGUGGAGCAUGCACAUAAGGAGCAAGAACUGUCACGAGCUCAGGCAGCCAAGGAGCCUUCGUAGAGACCAAACUCACUUGGGCCAUGGAUGAGUGUAUAAUGAUGAGUUCUCAAUCUUUGAACCAAUCCCACCAUUUUUGGACAAGUUUUACAUAAAAGUUGCCAAUUGUAUAAAUUGAUAAAAAAAAAGAAAAGCUAUUUUAUUAGCAUACAUUUAUUGUCAGGUUCAAAUGUAUGACAUUCACGUAUCAAAUUAAUCUAUAAGAACAAUGAAGCCAUUUUGGGAAAUUCUGGGGCUUGAUUCAGGGACAGAUAUCAAAGGGGGCCAGUGCAGUCUUGGGUCUAGUGUGUUCCUGUAGUUUGUUUAGCCUGCCUAGUACAAUGAACUUCUGUCGUUCUGCUGCCCACUCUAUUCCCCAUUUCCCAUCUCGCAUUUCUGGUCACGUGGCUCUGGAGUUGGUCCCCCUCCCAGCUACAGAGGUGGGUCUGGGAGCCAGGGCCAGGAAACCCUGGGAAACAGGAGCUCUUCCUGUGCCAAAGAAGCCAACUCAGGGAAAGCUUUGCCAAGGGAAAGAGGGCAAUGCGAUGCCACCAUAAAAGUGUCUAGAUCUAGCUGGAACUUAAUCCAUCCCAACCCCUGAAAUUUUCUGCUAUGCAAACCAGUAAUAUUUGUCUUUCAGGCCAAUUUGACUUGAAUUUCUGUCUCUUGCAACCAAAAUAUUUCUGACUAACAUACCCAGGAGUAAGGAAAUCUGAUUCAAACAGAUAAGUAGUUGCAAGUAAUGAUAGUUUUGAAAGCAGUUCAUCUUGCAAUGUCAGGAAAUUCUUUAUUAAAAAAAAAUAGGAGCAGCUUUACUCCAAAUCUAUGCACAUUCACACAUGAAAGUUUAACCUGCCAUACAACAUAAUAUGUACGAUAGAAACUGAUGAAUGGAUA
Long non-coding RNA from Leopardus geoffroyi (Geoffroy's cat), 2085 nucleotides. RefSeq lists it as uncharacterized. The transcript has 3 exons. The record is from RefSeq and is a predicted model, not a curated record. Lineage: Eukaryota; Metazoa; Chordata; Mammalia; Carnivora; Felidae.